UCGGGAAUUUUGGGCAAUGGGCGAAAGCCUGACCCAGCAACGCCGCGUGAGGGAUGAAGUAUUUCGGUAUGUAAACCUCGAAAGAAUGGGAAGAAUAAAUGACGGUACCAUUUAUAAGCUCCGGCUAACUACGUGCCAGCAGCCGCGGUAAUACGUAGGGAGCAAGCGUUGUUCGGAUUUACUGGGCGUAAAGGGCGCGUAGGCGGCGCGGUAAGUCACUUGUGAAAUCUCUGAGCUUAACUCAGAACGGCCAAGUGAUACUGCUGUGCUAGAGUGCGGAAGAGGCAACCGGAAUUCUUGGUGUAGCGGUGAAAUGCGUAGAUAUCAAGAGGAACACCUGAGGCGAAGGCGGGUUGCUGGGCCGACACUGUCGCUGAUGCGCGAAAGCCAGGGGAGCAAACG
This 402-nucleotide ribosomal RNA is filed under the name uncultured bacterium. Its description in RNAcentral is "bacterial SSU rRNA". It matches the Rfam family "Bacterial small subunit ribosomal RNA", at positions 355 to 774 of the family's 1533-position model. The record is from RNAcentral.